CAAGCCACAGCUACUAAAUUAUGAUWUAAACUUAAUAGUAUUGUAGCCUAUAAUAGAGCUCUAGAUAAGAGCU
This 73-nucleotide ribosomal RNA is filed under the name Anaxyrus americanus x Anaxyrus fowleri. Its description in RNAcentral is "partial 16S large ribosomal RNA". The record is from RNAcentral. Lineage: Eukaryota; Metazoa; Chordata; Amphibia; Anura; Bufonidae.